UGGGUUUUAUUAAUUCGCAAUUGUUGCAUUUUUAUCAGGCGUUUAGUUGUCGAGUUGCCAAAAAAUGUUUUGGUCCCACAGCUGUUCGCAACUCCUUCCUUGAUUAGAGUAGGUGAUAGUUUAAUUUGCACACAGCGGGAGGAAACGCGCGCACACACUCGCAUUUUUUUUGUGGCAGAAUUUUCAUGAAUGCGCUUAAAAUAUGAGUUGGUUGGGAACUCAGCUAAUGUUAACUAAGCAAGGCUCAGAAGCAGGCUAGCGGUAGGUUGUAUUUUUCAUUGUCUCUUCAGGAAGGCCCUCUGUGCCAGUGGUUGCUUGGAGACAGGAUAAACUUUCGGUCGGGAGUGAAACAUAGCUCAUGCAAAUAUCCUUAGCAGACUAUUCUUACAACAGUACCGGCUUGUCUUCAACUUGCUAACUUUGCUUAAACAUUUACAGACAAAAUGGGGACGUUGACUCUUCCAUCGAUAAACAAAGACGAUCCUCGCUUCAUUCUGCAAGUGGAGAACAAAAUGAAGAACAUUUUUGUCACGCAGCUACAAGGGACGCGAGAGGUGGAGGAUGCCAACACCAAUCUCAUCCCUGUAAUAACAGAGCCCAGGAGCAGGAUUUUGGAGACCGGAGUAAACACCAUGCAGAGAACCCUUGUAUUAAAGAAACAAGUUGAACUGGAUGAAUUAGACAGCAAGUUUGCACACAAACGACAAGAGUUCAAAGUUCGAAUGGAGGCCCUGGAACACAGGAGGGCUGACCUGGAGCAGAAACAGAAGCAGACCAAAGAUAAGGCAUCAAAGUUUGAGAAGUUUGUGGAGGAGAAUGAGCUUAAACACAGACGAGCUCUGAAGAAGUUCCAGGUGGAGCAGAGGCUUAAUGAUCUGAAACACAAAGAACUCACGGGGCUCGUGGAAGAGUUGGAAACACUUCAGACCAGACAGGAGGAGCUCAGGGGGCUGGUGUCAAAACACAAAAUGUUUGAAGAUUACCUAAUGAAGAUUUUGGAUGUACUCCCAGAAAGUUACUAUGGGAACGGAGCAGACUCCCUGGUCAUGUCCAUCCUCAGGAGGCAUGAGACCCUGUCCAUCACUCGUCAAGAUCUCGUCGGGCAACUGGGUUCCCUCGCAGAGGAGCUGGAACUAGGCCAGAGGAACCUGGACGUUCUGAAGCAGGAGCACAACACAAAUAAACUGAUGAUCAAUAAGGAGUUAUCAGAACUGCAGACGAAGUGGGAUCGAGUCACAGAGAGGGCCAAACUGCUGGAGAUGACCACACAAAUCCAUCAAGGCCAAUCUCGAGACCAGGUAGAGGAGGUAGGAAGCCUCCUGAUGGCGGUCAGGAACCUCGGUGAACAGUGCUACCUAUCACACUACGGUCCUCUUGAGGAGAUGGAUGUGCUAGAUAUGAUAGAUAUGAUCAAGGAGCACUUGCUGGACAUAGCAGACAUGGAGGAAAGAGCCACACUCCUCGGAGAAUCAGAUUCUGUGGCAAUUAGUAGCUUUGCAGUUGGCAGAGAGAAAGGAUCACAAACAAUGAAAAAAAUUAAAAUAGUUCAGGAGCUCCAAGAAAGUCAUGCUGACAACUGGACUGCUAAGCACAUUCGUAAUGCCAAAGGAACAUUUAAAUGAAACAUUGACACAUUGUGAGGAUGUUGGAGCCGAAAUGUUCAGAUGCUACUCUUUUUUUCAAUAUAUAGCACCACAGAAAACCCAAAAGGGUACCAGUAGUCAGGAACAUUGUAGUACUUUAAGAAUCAAGUUUGGAAAGUAACACUGGAUGGCACCAAAAUUUAAAAUGGAAUCACAGUGCUUGCAAUUGCAUUCUGUCUUCGAGUCUUCUAUCUGCUAUUGUUUGUCUUCUAGUCUUCGAUCUGCUAUUGUUUGUCUUCUAGUCUUCUAUCUGCUAUUGUUUGUCUUACAUUUACAUUUACAUUUAGUCAUUUAGCAGACACUUUUGUCCAAAGCGACAUACAAGGGAGAGAACAGUCAAGCUAAGAGCAAUAAAAAACAUGGUGUAACAAUAAAUAACAUAAGAAUUACAAAAACGACCUAGAAAGGAAAAAGAAGUGCAGGAAUGUAACUGCUGAAGUGCAAGUUAAGCGCUAGUCAAGGUGCCAGUUAGGAAGGGAGGUGCUCUCUGAAGAGUUGGGUCUUCAAAAGCUUGAAGGUAGAGAGGGACGCCCCUGCUCUGGUAGUACUAGGCAGUUCGUUCUACCAACGUGGAACUACAAAUGAGAAUAGUCUGGAUUGCCGUGCUUGCACAGACGGCAGUGCCAAAUGACGCUCACUAGACGAGCGCAGCGUCCUGGGUGUAACAUUUGCCCUUACAAGAGCAUUUAGGUAGGUGGGAGCAGAUCCAGCAAGCACUCUGUAGUCUUCUAACCAAUUGUCUGUAUUCAGAUCCCUUUGAAUCACUUAAGAAUCAUGUAAGGCUUAACACAGACCUUUCAUUCUGUUGAUAAAAUGUUUGGAGAAACUUUUGGGAUUUGUCAAUUUAAUUAUUUUUAAGCUAUAUAAAUAAAAAUGUACAAGUUACCUGUAGGAAUGCAUGGUGGAAUCUUCAUUUUUAACUGUCAGUUGAUGUUGAUCACUGUAAAUGAAUAACUUAUUUACGCAUUCACUUUAUCUAGUACACAUAGUACACAUGCACAACAAAGCUAAAUUCAAUUAGCGGAAACAAUUUAAAAUUCAUAUGAGGAAAAAAACUAUCCUUUAAAAGAUCCACCAUC
Long non-coding RNA from Clupea harengus (Atlantic herring), 2722 nucleotides. The record is from Ensembl. NCBI's taxonomy places the organism in Eukaryota, Metazoa, Chordata, Actinopteri, Clupeiformes, Clupeidae.